ACGCUCGACACCUACGGGAUGCAGCAGUAGGGAAUCUUCCACAAUGGACGCAAGUCUGAUGGAGCAACGCCGCGUGAGUGAAGAAGGUUUUCGGAUCGUAAAGCUCUGUUGUUGGUGAAGAAGGAUAGAGGUAGUAACUGGCCUUUAUUUGACGGUAAUCAACCAGAAAGUCACGGCUAACUACGUGCCGCNNCGCGAGUAUNGCGGGCGUGGCGAACGGACG
Molecule: ribosomal RNA, 223 nt
Filed under: uncultured bacterium
Lineage: Bacteria
Description: partial 16S ribosomal RNA
Rfam family: Bacterial small subunit ribosomal RNA
Source: RNAcentral